RNAcentral lists this small nuclear RNA (354 nucleotides) under Jaculus jaculus (lesser Egyptian jerboa). RNAcentral's name for it is "7SK RNA (ENSJJAG00000006410.1)". It matches the Rfam family "7SK RNA". From Rfam's summary of the family: 7SK was discovered as an abundant small nuclear RNA in the mid-70s but a possible function has only recently been suggested. Two independent studies have found that 7SK RNA binds the CDK9/cyclin T complex (known as elongation factor P-TEFb). Lineage: Eukaryota; Metazoa; Chordata; Mammalia; Rodentia; Dipodidae. The record is from RNAcentral.
GGAGAUGUGAGAGUGAUCUCGCUAUGACAUCUGUCACCCCAUUGAUCGCCACGUUGAUUCGGCUGAUCUGGCUGGCUAGGCGGGUGUCCCUUUCCUCUCUCACCGCUUCCAGGUCUGUCCCUCCCAAAGCUGCACACUUGGUCAAAGAGGACGACCUUCCCCAAAUAGAGGAGGACCAGUUUUCGGUCAAGGGUGUGUGAGUAGCUUUGCUUCCCUGCUAGAACCUCCAAACAAGCUCUCAAAGAGACAUUAUGUCCACCAGAGCUCACAGGAGAACACAAGCUUUCGCAGCGUUCCUCUGUGGCUCACCCACGCAUCCCCCAGUGAUGAGCAAGCGCAGGGUGACUGCCCUGC